GGGGCAGGAGACCGGAGGGAGUUGAGGUUUUGCACCCGAUAAGGAGACGCAUAAAGGGAACGGGUGGGGACACAGGGCCCCUGCAGCCUCAGGAGGAUCAGCAGUGGCCUGGUUUACUCGUGUCGUCAUUCGUCGUGGGCACCUUGUCCCCGGGGCCGGCCAGUUACUUGGCCUCCUGGCUCAUCAUCCUGCCGGAAGCAUCUCCAGCUUGGGGAUGUUGGAGGGUCCCUGGCCCCACCUGGCUGGGGAUGGAGUGUAAGCCGAGGAGAUGCCAUGUGAGGGUGCAGCGAGGAGUUGGGCUGUCUAAAAGCAAAGAAAGAGAUUGCAUCAGACACCGCAUCUGCUGACACCUUGUUCUUGGACUUCCAGCUUCCAAAACCGCGAGAAAUAAAUGUCUGUGUCUAAACCCCAACCCUACCACCUCAACUGCCGUGUGUGGUGUUUUGUGAUGGCAGCCCCAGCUGACUGAGACACCUGGUUAGACCGGAAUAAGCAGUACCUGAGUCCCUUAAGAGUGGCCAAAGAAGAAAGAAUCCACUGAGUUGACAUUCCAGUUCAGCUGCAAUCGGUAGCAGUCACCAUUGAACAUCCUUGAAGCAAUUCUUCCAAAAUUACCUUGCAUCAAAGACUGCACAAGAACUGCUCUAAGCGGAAGGACUGAUGUCGGCAACCAGGGUUCCACCAGGGGCUGCAGACAGCCCUUGACCUUCAGGUGGGAAGGUGUCACUGAGUUCAGACCCUCUGGCAAUCCCUAGCUAUCAACAUUUUGAUAAGAAAAUAAGUGGAAAGAAGUAACCAAAUUUACUCACGUAGGCCAGGAAUUUCUAUGACGUGUUCCAAAUUCAGCCUCUCACUGAACACUUCCAGAGCAAGGCAACAUAAACAUCUGCAAGAAGAACAUUGUGUGAGAAAUAUCAAGUGAGAGUGGAAGAGUCUGCGGAGGGCCUCCCUGGGGCUCACCUGUGCUUUUGCCUGAGCUUCACCGUGUCAAGGAUGCAGCACUUUUUCCCUCUGGAGGAAGCAGCUUUCACCUUGGAAGAAUCUUGACCUUGCCAUUCAAAGUCACCAGACAGGGAAUCUGCCAGUGCCUUGAUCUUAGACUUCCCAGCUUCUGUAACUGUGAGCAAUAAAUGUAUGCUGCUUAUAAACUAUCCAGUCUCAUGCAUUUUGUUAUAGCAAUAUAAACAGAUGAAGACAGACAUAAACAUAUCUUUUUGAGAGAUGCAAUGCAACCCAUACCACCAGGAUUGCCACAUGUUUGCUGAUUUCACCUGGUAGCAAGGCUUAGCUAUCUUGGCUUGAAUGUAAUACCUCCAUCUUUUCUCUUGGUCAUCCUCUUUAAGCAGAGGACUUUUAUCUACCCAAGCAGAAUCCUGUGUUCUUGCUAUUCGAAGUGCAGCCCAGCCUCCUGCAGCCACCACAUCACUUGUGAUGCUUGACAGAAAUGCAGACUCUCUGUUCCCACCUCAAACCUACUGACUUGGGAAUCUGCAGCUUACCAAGAUCUCCAGGUGAUCCACGUACACGUCAAACUUUGAAAAGCAGUGGUUUG
This 1552-nucleotide long non-coding RNA is filed under the name Homo sapiens (human). RNAcentral's name for it is "HSALNT0338196". The record is from RNAcentral. Lineage: Eukaryota; Metazoa; Chordata; Mammalia; Primates; Hominidae.